This 2682-nucleotide ribosomal RNA is filed under the name Staphylococcus aureus. RNAcentral describes it as "bacterial LSU rRNA". It matches the Rfam family "Bacterial large subunit ribosomal RNA". Lineage: Bacteria; Bacillati; Bacillota; Bacilli; Caryophanales; Staphylococcaceae. The record is from RNAcentral.
GUUAUCGAAUAGGUAAUACAUAGCAUAUCAGAAGGCACACCCGGAGAACUGAAACAUCUUAGUACCCGGAGGAAGAGAAAGAAAAUUCGAUUCCCUUAGUAGCGGCGAGCGAAACGGGAAUAGCCCAAACCAACAAGCUUGCUUGUUGGGGUUGUAGGACACUCUAUACGGAGUUACAAAGGACGACAUUAGACGAAUCAUCUGGAAAGAUGAAUCAAAGAAGGUAAUAAUCCUGUAGUCGAAAAUGUUGUCUCUCUUGAGUGGAUCCUGAGUACGACGGAGCACGUGAAAUUCCGUCGGAAUCUGGGAGGACCAUCUCCUAAGGCUAAAUACUCUCUAGUGACCGAUAGUGAACCAGUACCGUGAGGGAAAGGUGAAAAGCACCCCGGAAGGGGAGUGAAAUAGAACCUGAAACCGUGUGCUUACAAGUAGUCAGAGCCCGUUAAUGGGUGAUGGCGUGCCUUUUGUAGAAUGAACCGGCGAGUUACGAUUUGAUGCAAGGUUAAGCAGUAAAUGUGGAGCCGUAGCGAAAGCGAGUCUGAAUAGGGCGUUUAGUAUUUGGUCGUAGACCCGAAACCAGGUGAUCUACCCUUGGUCAGGUUGAAGUUCAGGUAACACUGAAUGGAGGACCGAACCGACUUACGUUGAAAAGUGAGCGGAUGAACUGAGGGUAGCGGAGAAAUUCCAAUCGAACCUGGAGAUAGCUGGUUCUCUCCGAAAUAGCUUUAGGGCUAGCCUCAAGUGAUGAUUAUUGGAGGUAGAGCACUGUUUGGACGAGGGGCCCCUCUCGGGUUACCGAAUUCAGACAAACUCCGAAUGCCAAUUAAUUUAACUUGGGAGUCAGAACAUGGGUGAUAAGGUCCGUGUUCGAAAGGGAAACAGCCCAGACCACCAGCUAAGGUCCCAAAAUAUAUGUUAAGUGGAAAAGGAUGUGGCGUUGCCCAGACAACUAGGAUGUUGGCUUAGAAGCAGCCAUCAUUUAAAGAGUGCGUAAUAGCUCACUAGUCGAGUGACACUGCGCCGAAAAUGUACCGGGGCUAAACAUAUUACCGAAGCUGUGGAUUGUCCUUUGGACAAUGGUAGGAGAGCGUUCUAAGGGCGUUGAAGCAUGAUCGUAAGGACAUGUGGAGCGCUUAGAAGUGAGAAUGCCGGUGUGAGUAGCGAAAGACGGGUGAGAAUCCCGUCCACCGAUUGACUAAGGUUUCCAGAGGAAGGCUCGUCCGCUCUGGGUUAGUCGGGUCCUAAGCUGAGGCCGACAGGCGUAGGCGAUGGAUAACAGGUUGAUAUUCCUGUACCACCUAUAAUCGUUUUAAUCGAUGGGGGGACGCAGUAGGAUAGGCGAAGCGUGCGAUUGGAUUGCACGUCUAAGCAGUAAGGCUGAGUAUUAGGCAAAUCCGGUACUCGUUAAGGCUGAGCUGUGAUGGGGAGAAGACAUUGUGUCUUCGAGUCGUUGAUUUCACACUGCCGAGAAAAGCCUCUAGAUAGAAAAUAGGUGCCCGUACCGCAAACCGACACAGGUAGUCAAGAUGAGAAUUCUAAGGUGAGCGAGCGAACUCUCGUUAAGGAACUCGGCAAAAUGACCCCGUAACUUCGGGAGAAGGGGUGCUCUUUAGGGUUAACGCCCAGAAGAGCCGCAGUGAAUAGGCCCAAGCGACUGUUUAUCAAAAACACAGGUCUCUGCUAAACCGUAAGGUGAUGUAUAGGGGCUGACGCCUGCCCGGUGCUGGAAGGUUAAGAGGAGUGGUUAGCUUCUGCGAAGCUACGAAUCGAAGCCCCAGUAAACGGCGGCCGUAACUAUAACGGUCCUAAGGUAGCGAAAUUCCUUGUCGGGUAAGUUCCGACCCGCACGAAAGGCGUAACGAUUUGGGCACUGUCUCAACGAGAGACUCGGUGAAAUCAUAGUACCUGUGAAGAUGCAGGUUACCCGCGACAGGACGGAAAGACCCCGUGGAGCUUUACUGUAGCCUGAUAUUGAAAUUCGGCACAGCUUGUACAGGAUAGGUAGGAGCCUUUGAAACGUGAGCGCUAGCUUACGUGGAGGCGCUGGUGGGAUACUACCCUAGCUGUGUUGGCUUUCUAACCCGCACCACUUAUCGUGGUGGGAGACAGUGUCAGGCGGGCAGUUUGACUGGGGCGGUCGCCUCCUAAAAGGUAACGGAGGCGCUCAAAGGUUCCCUCAGAAUGGUUGGAAAUCAUUCAUAGAGUGUAAAGGCAUAAGGGAGCUUGACUGCGAGACCUACAAGUCGAGCAGGGUCGAAAGACGGACUUAGUGAUCCGGUGGUUCCGCAUGGAAGGGCCAUCGCUCAACGGAUAAAAGCUACCCCGGGGAUAACAGGCUUAUCUCCCCCAAGAGUUCACAUCGACGGGGAGGUUUGGCACCUCGAUGUCGGCUCAUCGCAUCCUGGGGCUGUAGUCGGUCCCAAGGGUUGGGCUGUUCGCCCAUUAAAGCGGUACGCGAGCUGGGUUCAGAACGUCGUGAGACAGUUCGGUCCCUAUCCGUCGUGGGCGUAGGAAAUUUGAGAGGAGCUGUCCUUAGUACGAGAGGACCGGGAUGGACAUACCUCUGGUGUACCAGUUGUCGUGCCAACGGCAUAGCUGGGUAGCUAUGUGUGGACGGGAUAAGUGCUGAAAGCAUCUAAGCAUGAAGCCCCCCUCAAGAUGAGAUUUCCCAACUUCGGUUAU